RNAcentral lists this long non-coding RNA (526 nucleotides) under Brassica napus (rape). RNAcentral's name for it is "long non-coding RNA (BNAP_LNC025199)". The record is from RNAcentral. Lineage: Eukaryota; Viridiplantae; Streptophyta; Magnoliopsida; Brassicales; Brassicaceae.
AAUUUCUAGAAAUGGAUCACCACUGAUUUUUUAACACUUUUCAUCUUUUAACGAUACAUUGAACCUUUUUAAGAGAAAUAAAGAAACCACCCUCUCCAAGACAGUGUAUCUCUUCUUCAACUAGUGUAACCUUAUGCCGUGAGACUAGCAAUUUUAUUGAAGGCUCCUCUCGUUGUCCUUCGAGUUUGUACUCUCCUUGGUUUUGCGACUUUCAGUAAUCGUUCUCAGAUUCUUGAUGUCUUUUGCUAUUAUGUCUUCUAAGAUGUAGUUCUGCUAUAUAAACUUCCUUCUCGUUCAAAAUUUUGUGAAAAUACAAAAAAAUCCAUCUUAUUAAUUUUGCAAAUUCCAGAUUCAAAAAAAAAAAAUCUGUGCAUGUAUGCAUUAAUUUGUGCUUAAAGCCGCAUCAUAAAAAUAUAAUAGACUGAAACAUUACUCAUAAUUAACCUUGAACUUAAACUAUAUCUUUAUAUAUAAAAGAGGCUUUGUUUCUCUCCCAGGGUGUCCAGCUCGGAUGCCACGUCAUCAA